Molecule: long non-coding RNA, 229 nt
Filed under: Salvia miltiorrhiza (redroot sage)
Lineage: Eukaryota; Viridiplantae; Streptophyta; Magnoliopsida; Lamiales; Lamiaceae
Description: long non-coding RNA (SMIL_LNC009248)
Source: RNAcentral
GCAAAGCUAAUUUACCAAUUGGCCUUUCCUGCCAUUCUUACUAUCAAACACAAAAAUAACAUUACUAUUCUAUUAUUGCUUCAAAUAAGUGGAAUAUAUUUCUCCAUAAAUUUGGAUGUUGUAAUGUACAGAAAUUGUAGCACUCACUCUUCGUCAUCUUUAAAAUGACUAGCGGAUGUAAAUUUGAACUAAAUUUAUAUGAAUAGGAAUAUAAAGUAUCAGUUACCUU